GCGGAAGUGGUGGAAUCGGUAGACACGCCAUCUUGAGGGGGUGGUGCCGCAAGGUGUGGGGGUUCAAAUCCCCCCUUCCGCA
RNAcentral lists this transfer RNA (82 nucleotides) under Candidatus Zixiibacteriota bacterium. Its description in RNAcentral is "tRNA-Leu". It matches the Rfam family "tRNA". From Rfam's summary of the family: Transfer RNA (tRNA) molecules are approximately 80 nucleotides in length. Their secondary structure includes four short double-helical elements and three loops (D, anti-codon, and T loops). Further hydrogen bonds mediate the characteristic L-shaped molecular structure. tRNAs have two regions of fundamental functional importance: the anti-codon, which is responsible for specific mRNA codon recognition, and the 3' end, to which the tRNAs corresponding amino acid is attached (by aminoacyl-tRNA synthetases). tRNAs cope with the degeneracy of the genetic code in two manners: having more than one tRNA (with a specific anti-codon) for a particular amino acid; and 'wobble' base-pairing, i.e. permitting non-standard base-pairing at the 3rd anti-codon position. Lineage: Bacteria; Pseudomonadati; Candidatus Zixiibacteriota. The record is from RNAcentral.